UGGAUGUUAAUGGCUGAUAGUCGGUAACUUUGCAAUAUUCAACAUUGUAGGAUAGAAGCGGGAAACUGAGCAGAGCUACAGGACAUUGAAAGGAAAGAACUGUGCAGUAUGAUUGCUCUAUUGCAGAACUAUUGAAGGCUAGAAGUCAUGAAUCACCAAGUGCCACAAAACUAACGGACCAAACUGCUGUGACUGUUGGAUUUGCUAUUUCCUGAACAAACACACGAUGUGAAACAGAACUAUAUCAAGAUCCAGAAUAUUGGCAAGGACGAGUGGGACUGGAACUGCAAGUCCUUUCCUGAGAUCACAGCAACCAGUCUACUCCUGGAUACAUCCAUGGCUCCAGGACUGUGCUUCUCAAUACAACAAUUUAAGUGACUUCCUCCACUGAAGUGAUAGGAUAUCAGCGCUGCCUCCCACCAAGAUAGGCACAGGUCUAAAAUAACCAGUUCCCUCGUUGGCUCAAGAAUACAUGUCAGCAUUCAGGUAAACCUACGGUACCAGCAAUACAAAACCAAAACCACUCCAACCUCAGUCUUACAGCUUAAGUUUACUGAUGAUG
Carcharodon carcharias (great white shark) is the source of this 562-nucleotide long non-coding RNA. RefSeq lists it as uncharacterized. The record is from RefSeq and is a predicted model, not a curated record. NCBI's taxonomy places the organism in Eukaryota, Metazoa, Chordata, Chondrichthyes, Lamniformes, Lamnidae. The transcript has 4 exons.